UAAAAUAUUUGCAGGAAGAAAUAGCUAACUAUUUUUAAAGCACCUAUUCUUUCAACAGGAAGCAUUAUCUUUCCCUUCCCUACCGCUGUUAUAUACCAUGCAUGAGCCCGGGUGACCAGUGAAUAAGCUCAGGAGCUGUCCAUUUGAGGAAAACUAUGAUAAGCAGUGGGUAUAGAAGACCCCUGAAGAGCUGUAAUGAGGGAAGUAGAACACAGACAACCAUGGUCUAUCCAGACAAAAGGAGUAUCCGAUGCCAGGAAGAAAAUUUGGCAAAGCUGCAGAUAGUUUAUGGUCUAAUUGUGGUUGGUCGAUAAUUUUGCAACUGUCAUCAACAUGUCCUCCCAAAGGUAAGAAUCCUUUUGCUGUGAGAGUAUUUUGCCCCGAAGGCAGCAUGGGAGAUGGGAGUAGUGGGUACAUGCCGUGGGGGUGGGGGGUGGGCAGGAAUAGGACCAGGGAUAGGCAAAUACCUUGUUUGGCGAAUAUACUCAGUAACUAUACCUGAUUUAAACAUCUGACUUAAAGAUAUCCAUUUUAUUCUGAGAAUAUGGAAGGCUUAGGAAGGGCUUACAGAAUUGUUCUAACACAGAGGCGCCAUCUUACACAACUGUUCACUCUUUUUUAGUAUUUUGAGGUCCCGGUCUGGCUUCCAAAGAAGAUGUUUUCAUACUUCUAAAACCUGUCUUUGAAGUCAGAGGACAAUGUCAGAACCUUUGUUUUGUGGUACUUGAAAAGAAGCUGUACUUCCUUUAGCUUUCCUCAUUUCAGUAAAGGCAAGGUGGUCAUACAUUCCAGUGUGCUAGGGUUGUAGAUUGAAAAAAUGG
This 821-nucleotide long non-coding RNA is filed under the name Microcebus murinus (gray mouse lemur). Its description in RNAcentral is "lncRNA (ENSMICG00000048690.1)". Lineage: Eukaryota; Metazoa; Chordata; Mammalia; Primates; Cheirogaleidae. The record is from RNAcentral.